AGUAAAGCCGAAAGUCAUGAAAGGUGACACUUGCUCAAAAGUUGAAUUAAUGUAUGUACUGCGUUAAACCCAAGAGGAAAACAAAUCCUUGAAUAAUGGAUUGUCUACCUAGAAGAUAAGAUGAAAGAAAUAAGUUGAAUGCAAAAAUUCUUCGCUGCUCAACAGUCACAUAUCUUGCAUACGUCAUCAACAGUUUCAGUUGAAUGACCACUGGC
This 215-nucleotide long non-coding RNA is filed under the name Solanum tuberosum (potato). Its description in RNAcentral is "long non-coding RNA (STUB_LNC005724)". The record is from RNAcentral. Lineage: Eukaryota; Viridiplantae; Streptophyta; Magnoliopsida; Solanales; Solanaceae.